Molecule: small RNA, 16 nt
Filed under: Arabidopsis thaliana (thale cress)
Lineage: Eukaryota; Viridiplantae; Streptophyta; Magnoliopsida; Brassicales; Brassicaceae
Description: ATSL142370
Source: RNAcentral
CAAAAACAAACAAAAA